This is a long non-coding RNA of Esox lucius (northern pike), 695 nucleotides long. The record is from Ensembl. NCBI's taxonomy places the organism in Eukaryota, Metazoa, Chordata, Actinopteri, Esociformes, Esocidae.
CGGAACUGGAGAUACUGUGGAGGUGGAAGAAUCCAGGUUGGAUUUAGAGGGCUGUAGUCCCCACUGGCUUCAAGAAAAACAUUGUUGCCCUGAUGCCUUCAACCAUCGAUGAGGAAAAUAAAGGCUUCAUACCCAUAGCCCUUUCCCCUGUCACAAUGAACAGAGACCAAUCAGCCUGUAGGGAGGAAGUGAGUAAACUUAAAUAGUGACACCUAGGAGACAACCUCUUCCCUCACAACAGCAAAACAAAUUAGCUCAUUUGUUGACUUCAGGAAGCAAGACUGCGGAGGAGAGAUUCCACUUCACGAAGGACUUGAUGUGGUCCAACAACACCAGCACCCAUGUUGACACAAUUGCUCCUUCCGUUAGCAUUGGGCAAUGGUACUGGAGCAAAGGGUCCGAUAGCAACAGGCUCAGAGACAUUUUCUACAGACACAGACACACAAACCCACACAGGAAUAUUUUAAAGGAAUAUUUUACUGAUCCAUUUACACGUUUUCUAUUAUUUCUAAUUGUUGUAUAGCCCAAAGAAACUUGCGAAUCAAAGUUUUGUUGGAUGGUAUAUAAUGUUUGCAUCCUUUAGAUGCAACUUAUUAUUGUCCAUUACCGGUUGCACAAAUUGUAACAAUGUAAAUGUGAGCAGUUGUUAAAAUCCAUGGAAGUGUUUUCUUGUGUUCAUUAAAUACUCAAUAAAC